GUUGUGUUUCUAUUGUGUCGUUUGUUUUCUCCUAUAUUUGAGUUUGAAUUCACAUUACUAUAAGACGUGUCACGGUACUUUUCUAUCCCAAAUUCAUGUAUAUGUUUUUUAUGUUAUAUUUGUUAUUCUCAUCGAAUUUUGUCUAAUUCUUAGUCCGUUGCUGUGUGUGUUACAUUUUAUUGUUGUGUCGUUGUUCUCCUCUUAUAUUUAAUGCGUUUCCCUCAGUUUUAGUUUGUUACCCCGAUUUUGUUUUUUGUCCAUAGAUUUACGAGUUUUGAACAGCGGUAUACUACUGUUGCCUUU
Molecule: long non-coding RNA, 303 nt
Filed under: Mytilus galloprovincialis (Mediterranean mussel)
Lineage: Eukaryota; Metazoa; Mollusca; Bivalvia; Mytilida; Mytilidae
Source: RNAcentral